RNAcentral lists this ribosomal RNA (293 nucleotides) under uncultured bacterium. RNAcentral's name for it is "partial 16S ribosomal RNA". It matches the Rfam family "Bacterial small subunit ribosomal RNA", at positions 505 to 796 of the family's 1533-position model. The record is from RNAcentral.
GUGCCCAGCCGCCGCGGUACUACGGAGGGUGCAAGCGUUGUCCGGAAUCACUGGGCGUAAAGGGUGCGCAGGCGGGGCAGCAAGUCGGAGGUGAAAGCCCAUGGCUCAACCAUGGAAGUGCCUUCGAAACUGUUGCUCUUGAGUCCCGGAGAGGCAGUCGGAAUUCGUGGUGUAGCGGUGAAAUGCGUAGAUAUCACGAGGAACACCAGAGGCGAAAGCGGACAGCUGGACGGGUACUGACGCUCAGGCACGAAAGCGUGGGGAGCAAACAGGAUUAGAAACCCCGGUAGUCC